This 599-nucleotide ribosomal RNA is filed under the name Phaeosphaeriaceae sp. RNAcentral's name for it is "eukaryotic LSU rRNA". The stretch from base 225 to 378 matches the Rfam family "5.8S ribosomal RNA". Lineage: Eukaryota; Fungi; Ascomycota; Dothideomycetes; Pleosporales; Phaeosphaeriaceae. The record is from RNAcentral.
GAAGUAAAAGUCGUAACAAGGUUUCCGUAGGUGAACCUGCGGAAGGAUCAUUACCUUUCAAUGCAGCAGAAUUGGGAUGGUUGAGUUUCUCGCCUCUCCAUUCUGCCUGUAUUCUACCCUUGUUUGCCAUAUACUAUUAUUUCCUCGGCAGGCUUGCUUGCCGAGUGAAACCAAUUAUAACCUAUUUAAUUUUCAAUCAGCGUCUGAAAAAAAUUAAUAAUUACAACUUUCAACAACGGAUCUCUUGGUUCUGGCAUCGAUGAAGAACGCAGCGAAAUGCGAUAAGUAGUGUGAAUUGCAGAAUUCAGUGAAUCAUCGAAUCUUUGAACGCACAUUGCGCCCCUUGGUAUUCCAUGGGGCAUGCCUGUUCGAGCGUCAUUUGUACCUUCAAGCUUUGCUUGGUGUUGGGUGUUUGUCCUGAGGGACUCGCCUUAAAGUAAUUGGCAGCCAGUGUUUGGUUUUGAAGCGCAGCACAAGUCGCGAUUCAAGGCUAUACGCCAGCUUCCACAAGCCUUUUUCACUUUUGACCUCGGAUCAGGUAGGGAUACCCGCUGAACUUAAGCAUAUCAAUAAGCGGAGGAAUUUUUCUCCUGGCAUGG